GAAUGUGAGGGUGACCUGGCGCUGACAAGCCACCCCACUGCUCACCAGUGGUUUUUCAACUGACCGGACGGGCUUGCCGGGUGGCCCUUUUCCCCUCCAUAGUUCUUUGACUGUCCUUUUUAAAGCAGAAUUCUCCAUCAAAAAGGAAACCGUUUUAAAUGUUAAAGAAUUGUUUCUGUUGGAUGUCUACUUAAGUAUUAACUUUCUAGAUAAUCUAAUCUUUAUAGGACUGAAAAAUAGCAAUAGAAAAUUGAUUAGAGUAAGAAAUUCC
Molecule: small nuclear RNA, 271 nt
Filed under: Echinops telfairi (small Madagascar hedgehog)
Lineage: Eukaryota; Metazoa; Chordata; Mammalia; Afrosoricida; Tenrecidae
Description: 7SK RNA (ENSETEG00000025642.1)
Source: RNAcentral